AACGAACGCUGGCGGCAUGCCUAACACAUGCAAGUCGAACGAGACCUUCGGGUCUAGUGGCGCACGGGUGCGUAACGCGUGGGAACCUGCCCUUAGGUUCGGAAUAACUCCCCGAAAGGGGUGCUAAUACCGGAUAAUGUCUUCGGACCAAAGAUUUAUCGCCUUUGGAUGGGCCCGCGUUGGAUUAGCUAGUUGGUAGGGUAAAAGCCUACCAAGGCGACGAUCCAUAGCUGGUCUGAGAGGAUGAUCAGCCACACUGGGACUGAGACACGGCCCAGACUCCUACGGGAGGCAGCAGUGGGGAAUAUUGGAAAAGGGGCGAAAGCCUGAUCCAGCAAUGCCGCGUGAGUGAUGAAGGCCUUAGGGUUGUAAAGCUCUUUUACCCGGGAUGAUAAUGACAUUACCGGGAGAAUAAGCGCCGGCUAACUCCGUG
This 433-nucleotide ribosomal RNA is filed under the name uncultured bacterium. RNAcentral's name for it is "partial 16S ribosomal RNA". It matches the Rfam family "Bacterial small subunit ribosomal RNA", at positions 29 to 507 of the family's 1533-position model. The record is from RNAcentral.